Ictalurus furcatus (blue catfish) is the source of this 777-nucleotide long non-coding RNA. RefSeq lists it as uncharacterized. The record is from RefSeq and is a predicted model, not a curated record. The transcript is spliced from 3 exons. NCBI's taxonomy places the organism in Eukaryota, Metazoa, Chordata, Actinopteri, Siluriformes, Ictaluridae.
ACUAACAUGUGUCAUCAGUUUAUCCCUGUUAUUUGCCACAGGCGCAGACCGCGGCACACUCCCAGAAAAGUAUGCAACUUGGACAACCUACGCUCUCUGAAUGUGGCCUCUACAGAUUCCCUCUUGUUCUCUAUAUCAGACUUUGGAACUGCCAAUCUGCCGUCAACAAGGCAGAUUUCAUUACUGACAUUGCAACCCACUCCAACCUCAGUGUGCUGGCUCUGACUGAGACCUGGAUCCAUACUGAGAACACUGCCACACCCACUGCCCUAGCCUCCAACUUCAACUUCUCCCAUACCUCGCGUCCCAACAGACAAGAGGCUGAUACAGGUAAACUGGGGAAGUUCAAUGAUGAAUUUGACAUGCUACUGCCCACCAUCCCAGAUGAUGGAACGCCUCUUGUGGUCUUUUUGACUUCAACAUUAAUCUAGACAAGCCACAUGCAGCUGACUUUCUUGCUCUCCUUCCCACAUUUGACCUCACACCAGCAAGCCACAAAGCCGGCAAACAGCUUGACCUCAUCCUCACACAACAACCUCCAAGACACCAAGCAGUCUGGCUUCAAAAGCAAUCACUCCACAGAGACUGCUCUGUUUUCCGUCACUGAAGCCGUACGACUAGCAAGAGCAACCUCUAGGUCAUCUGUCCUCAUCCUACUUGAUUUCUCUGCUGCUUUCGACACUGUGAAUCAUCAGGUCCUCCGGUCAACUCUCUCCAGCCUGUGCAUCACUGGAACGGUGCUGCGCUGGGUGGAAUCCUAUCUCUCAGAUAGAUCCU